Molecule: transfer RNA, 73 nt
Filed under: Actinomycetota bacterium
Lineage: Bacteria; Bacillati; Actinomycetota
Also listed under: 1 other name
Description: tRNA-Arg
Rfam family: tRNA
About the family: Transfer RNA (tRNA) molecules are approximately 80 nucleotides in length.
Source: RNAcentral
GCGCCCGUAGCUCAGUGGAUAGAGCGUCGGUUUCCGGAACCGAAAGUCGCAGGUUCGAAUCCUGCCGGGCGCG